Non-coding RNA from Podarcis muralis (Common wall lizard), 379 nucleotides. Lineage: Eukaryota; Metazoa; Chordata; Lepidosauria; Squamata; Lacertidae. The record is from the annotation of a RefSeq genome assembly.
UCUCUUGCAACAGACACCAUGUGGCGGUCGGUGCUGGGUGUCUCUGUUGGCCUGCAGCUGUUGACAGGUCUCUGCAGUGGGAUCAACGUGAUACAGGAGGAUCGCUUCCAAAUCAUCCGGGAAGGGAGCAAAACAAGCAUAGACUGCAAGCAUGAUGACUCGUCCUACUUAUAUGUUUUUUGGUACCGGCAGAAGAGCAACAGCGUGCAGAAGCAUCUGCAACUCAUUGGAUUCUCUAUACAUGGGAAUGACCCAGAGAUGGAGAUGACUCAAUACAGCAUAGACAGACCGGAAGUGACUCGUGCCUCCUUGUCCAUCCCUCAGGGACAAGCUGCAGACACAGCAGUGUAUUUCUGUGCAGCUAGUAAAGGCACAGUGA